RNAcentral lists this transfer RNA (76 nucleotides) under Rickettsiales bacterium. Its description in RNAcentral is "tRNA-Glu". It matches the Rfam family "tRNA". Rfam says of the family: Transfer RNA (tRNA) molecules are approximately 80 nucleotides in length. Their secondary structure includes four short double-helical elements and three loops (D, anti-codon, and T loops). Lineage: Bacteria; Pseudomonadati; Pseudomonadota; Alphaproteobacteria; Rickettsiales. The record is from RNAcentral.
GUUCCCAUCGUCUAGAGGCCUAGGACAUAAGAUUCUCAUUCUUAGAACACCGGUUCGACUCCGGUUGGGAACACCA